RNAcentral lists this ribosomal RNA (2152 nucleotides) under Macrocixius sp. 1 YL-2022a. RNAcentral's name for it is "partial large subunit ribosomal RNA". It matches the Rfam family "Eukaryotic large subunit ribosomal RNA", at positions 1297 to 2806 of the family's 3401-position model. The record is from RNAcentral. Lineage: Eukaryota; Metazoa; Arthropoda; Insecta; Hemiptera; Cixiidae.
CACUGCGACACUACCCUGAAAGGAUGGCGCUAAAGCGUCGUGCCUAUACCGGGCCGUCAACGGCCACAGUGGGCCUCUGCCUUCGGGCAAGAGCCGUUACGUCUUGACGAGUAGGAGGGUCGCGGCGGUGUGCGCAGAAGGGUCUGGGCGUGAGCCUGCCUGGAGCCGCCGUCGGCGCAGAUCUUGGUGGUAGUAGCAAAUACUCUAGAGAGGGCCUGGAGAGCCGAUGUGGAGAAGGGUUUCUUGUGAACAGCCGUUGUACAAGAGUAAGUCGAUCCUAAGUGCUAGGAGAAAUCCGAUGUUGAUGGUCUGGCUGUCGACUUCUAUUCUCAACACUUAGAAAACGCUUCAGGCUUCCGGGCCGUAAAAGCGUAGGUUCUUUCUCGUGCCAUACACUCUAUUGAUGUGUGGACUGUCUCUGUUGUGUUUUCCGACAGACUGGGCGGAAACGCCCAGCCGUGUACGGACACGAACGACCUCUUAUUUCCCACAUCCGUGUGGGAUUCGUUUAUCUCAUCAGAGUAGUCCAGGCUCUUCAUUGCUAGCCAAGAUUUGCUAGCCAAAGAUUGGAACUAGCCUCGGAACUAGCCUCGGAGCUUUUGGCCGAGGAAGGACAAUGUGUUAUCCUUUAGCCCGUUGAAGGGCGAAAGGGAAUCCGGUCAACAUUCCGGAACCCGGCUGCGUAAACCGCUCUCUGUUGGCGUCAGCCGGCGAGCGCUUUGUUGGGGUAACCCAAGCUGUCCCGGAGACUCUGGCGGGGGGUCUGGGAAGAGUUUUCUUUUCUUUUUAAGCGUUCGUGGACCCUGGAAUUCUAUAGCAGAGAGAAUAGGGGUUUGGAACGCGAAAAACAUCGCAGUUGGCGGCGGUGACCGGACUUCCCCCCCGGACCUUGAAAAUCUNNGUGAGAGCGAUGCGGUGAUCGCGCCGGUUCGUAUCCAUAUCCNGCAUCUGGUCUCCAAGGUUCAAAGCCUCUUGUCGANANNAUNNUNGNUAGGNANNGGAAGUCGGCAAAUUGGAUCCGUAACUUCGGGACAAGGAUUGGCUCUGAGGAUCGGGGCGUGUCGGGCUUGGUCGGGAAGCGGGUCAGUGCCAACGUGCCGGGCCUGGGCGAGGGUCGUUGUGGUUUCCUUGGCAGCAAUGCCUUUGUUACCCACGAUCCGAACUCGGUCCCGUGCCACUUGGCCUCCCGCGGAUCUUCCUUGCUGCGGGUUUUCGACCAAGCAGACCAGGCUGGGCCGCUUCAGGCCCGCCGGGACGGCUUCGAAUCAAUCCCUUCGGCCGCCAUUCAACGGUCAACUCAGAACUGGCACGGACAAGGAGAAUCCGACUGCCUAAUUAAAGCAAAGCAUUGCGAGGGCUCUAGCCGAGUGCUUACGCAAUGUGAUUUCUGCCCAGUGCUCUGAAUGUCAACGUGUAGAAAUUCAAGCAAGCGCGGGUAAACGGCGGGAGUAACUAUGACUCUCUUAAGGUAGCCAAAUGCCUCGUCAUCCAAUUAGUGACGCGCAUGAAUGGAUUAACGAGAUUCUCACUGUCCCUAUCUACUAUCUAGCGAAACCACAGCCAAGGGAACGGGCUUGGAAACAUUAGCGGGGAAAGAAGACCCUGUUGAGCUUGACUCUAGUCUGGCACUGUAAGGAGACAUGAGAGGUGUAGCAUAAGUGGGAGAAGGUGUGGCUUCUUGCCUGUCCGUCGACGGUGAAAUACCACUACUUUCAUCGUUUCUUUACUUACUCGGAUAGGCGGAGAGCGUGUCCGUCGAGGGCUCAGCCCACGCGGACCGGUAUUCUCGCGCCAAGCGUCCGGGUUGCCGGCAAGCGCCCAUCAGUGCUUGGGUUCGUGCGUGUCUUCGACCUGUCGCCGCAAGGUGGCUUGUCACCGACCCACGGCCUUCGCCUCGAUUGGGCGCCGUCGACCGGCAAACACUCCCACGCGUGAUCCGAUUCGAGGACACAGCCAGGCGGGGAGUUUGACUGGGGCGGUACAUCUGUCAAAUGAUAACGCAGGUGUCCUAAGGCCAGCUCAGCGAGGACAGAAACCUCGCGUAGAGCAAAAGGGCAAAUGCUGGUUUGAUCCCGAUGUCCAGUAGGCAUAGGGACUGCGAAAGCAGGGCCUGUCGAUCCUUUUGGCUUGAAGAGAUUUCAGCAAGAGGUGU